GGAAGCUACGGCUAAUGGUUUAGCAAUCGGUUUCGAAAACCGACGUAUAGUUGAUGCUAUAGGAGUUCGAUUCUUCUAGCUUCCG
Molecule: transfer RNA, 85 nt
Filed under: Romeriopsis navalis LEGE 11480
Lineage: Bacteria; Bacillati; Cyanobacteriota; Cyanophyceae; Leptolyngbyales; Leptolyngbyaceae
Rfam family: tRNA
About the family: Transfer RNA (tRNA) molecules are approximately 80 nucleotides in length. Their secondary structure includes four short double-helical elements and three loops (D, anti-codon, and T loops). Further hydrogen bonds mediate the characteristic L-shaped molecular structure. tRNAs have two regions of fundamental functional importance: the anti-codon, which is responsible for specific mRNA codon recognition, and the 3' end, to which the tRNAs corresponding amino acid is attached (by aminoacyl-tRNA synthetases). tRNAs cope with the degeneracy of the genetic code in two manners: having more than one tRNA (with a specific anti-codon) for a particular amino acid; and 'wobble' base-pairing, i.e. permitting non-standard base-pairing at the 3rd anti-codon position.
Source: Rfam by way of RNAcentral